This 2308-nucleotide long non-coding RNA is filed under the name Ooceraea biroi (clonal raider ant). RNAcentral describes it as "uncharacterized LOC113563116". Lineage: Eukaryota; Metazoa; Arthropoda; Insecta; Hymenoptera; Formicidae. The record is from RNAcentral.
UGGAUUGUGGACACAAGCCUUAAGGUGCCUUUUCAUGCAGCGAAUUUUUCGCUGCGAAUGAUUUUUAGUGAGUAGCGAAUAAUUCGCCGCGAAGUGACGAAUAAUUCGCCACGAAUAGUUUGUGAGCGUCACAUCUGUAUGGUUGCAUGUCAACAAUAGAAAAUCUUGAAAUCUUUGUAAUGGACGACGAGUCGGUUAUAAACUGGACUUGGUAUAACCAUCAACUGCAGUGGUUAUUGCAACAUGUAUAAGCAAAUUAUUAUUAUAUUAUACAGAAAAGGAAAACUGCUGCAGUUGCAGCUACACUUUUACAUUUGAGAAAAAGUGGAAAAAAAGAUAUUGUAAAAAGAAAUAUUGGAUAGCACCCAUUUUUCAAGAAAGGAAAGUGCAUGGAUUCUUUCAUGCUGUGCUACCUAAACUCGUUUUAGAAGAUUUGAGAUUUAAUAAUUACAUACGCAUGUCUGCAACUCAAUUUGAAAAGUUAACAUUCUUAGUUGGAGCAGACAUAUUCGCUCCUUGCGAAUAUUCGCUACAAGCUGAAACUUUUCAGCGAACAGCGAUUACUCGCUAGCGAACAGCGAAUGAUCACGUGACCUUCAUUCGCGGCGAUUAUUUCGCUGCAUGAAACGGCACCUUUAAGCCUUGUGUCCACGAUCCAAGUUCUUGGUCAAAGUUCUAUUCGUAUACACUUGACCGGAAUUGAACGUAAUUUUAAGGAACUGCUAUAUACAAUCGUUUGUAUUUCGUUUGAAGAGUAAUGAAGUGUGAUUAAAAAGGUUUGUGAGUCCCUCAGUUAAUUGUAAUUAAUUAAUUAUUUUUGCUUAACGUAUUUAGCCGGAACAGAUUAGCCGGAAUAACUUCAAACAAUAUUUUUGUAUGGAAUCGUUUGUAUUUUGUUUGUAGAGUACUGAAGUGUGAUCAAAAAGGUUUGUGAGUCCCUCAGUUAAUUGUAAUUAAAUGUUUAUUACUCGGUAGUUAGCCGGAAUGGCCGGAAUAUAGAUUUUAGUUCCUCAUGUUAAAAGAAAAAGGCGCCACUGUUCCCUGAAAUUCUAUUGACAGUUUCCCUUCUAUGAUGUUGAAUGAUUUAAGCCAUUAUAUACUUACCAUGCAUACUAAAAAAAGCAUAAAUAUAUAUAAAUUAAACACUUCUUUCCCGUGUACAUCAAGCUGUAAGAUGUUAAGUAAGAUAUUUCAUGAUAAUAAACGCCAUGACGCUUGCAUUAUUUCUUUGUUUUAUUCUUAUCAUAGUUAUAUAUAUAGUUAUAUUAUUAUAUAUAAUACUAUUUAUUAAUUCUGCGUUUAUAUAUGUAUAUAUUCCUACAUCGUAUUCGUCCCACGUUUUAAUGAAGAGCAAUACAGCAUUGUAUUUUGUAAACUUAAAGCUAUCGGCAACAGAGCCUAAAUUUUAAUUACCAUUUAUAAAUAUUUUAAUUGUUUCUAGAUCUAGAUAAUAAAACAAACUCGGUUAGAGAAAUAAAAAACAAUGUAUUUUUACACAUUACAGAUUUGAACAAUUUGCAUGUUUACUAACAAAUUUAUAUCAUUAUUGAAAUUUGUUCUUUAAUAAUCUCGCAUGCACGCACAUGUAUACGUGAAAUGCUGUUAAAAUGAUGGAAUGUUUUAUUGUCCGUUUUUUUAAUACAUAUUUUUAAUUAAUAAUUUGGAAAAAUGCAAAGAAAUAUAUUUACACUAAAGCCCGUUUUAGACUAUGCAAUAUAUUAUAAUAUAUUGCGCUAGAUUUGACGCAAUUUCUUGAGCAAAUUUUUGCUGCAAGAAUUGCUUGCCGUUGAUUGCAUAGUCUAAAACGAACUUAAGAUAUUAAAAACGUAUCACUUAUUUUCACAAUUGAACGUGAUGUAUGAAAAACGAUAAAUAACGAUAAAUAAAGUAACUGCAAUGGCAAUGAUACGCGUGUAACACUAUUUGAAUAUUUUGAAUUAAAUUAUAGAUUGUCCGAGGGCGCACCACACAUACAGUAAAGGCUAGUUAUUGGAACAUUCUGAUCUUGGUGAUGAUGAUCCAACCUGGUAAUUGAUAUGUGGUCCGCGGCAUGUUCCUAGCAAUCGACGGUUCUCCUGUAACAAAAUUAUAUCAUUAAUAAAACAAUCUAAUAGGGUUCAUCUCCUGUUAAAUUUCCAUGGGACAAAGUUAUUCAAUGCAAUGUCUGUUUAUUAUGUUUACUAUUGUUUGGGAUUAGAUAAUGUUUAGGAGAAAUUAGAAUAGAAUUCAUGUUGUCGAUCACAUGUUUUACUUGCUAAAUUAAUGUUAUUCUUAUAAUAAAAGUUUCUCAAACACAUUUUGUGAAUAA